Molecule: unclassified non-coding RNA, 378 nt
Filed under: plant metagenome
Description: partial contains 5.8S ribosomal RNA, internal transcribed spacer 2, and large subunit ribosomal RNA
Rfam family: 5.8S ribosomal RNA (bases 1-105)
Source: RNAcentral
GAAAUGCGAUAAGUAAUGUGAAUUGCAGAAUUCAGUGAAUCAUCGAAUCUUUGAACGCACCUUGCGCUCCGUGGUAUUCCUUGGAGCAUGCCUGUUUGAGUAUCAUGAAAUCUUCAAAGUAAAUCUUUUGUUAACUCAAUUGGUUUCUACUUUGGUAUUGGAGGUCUUUGCAGCUUCACACCUGCUCCUCUUUGUUCAUUAGCUGGAUCUCAGUGUUAUGCUUGGUUCCACUCGGCGUGAUAAGUUAUCUAUCGCUGAGGACACUGUAAAAGGUGGCCAAGGUAAAUGCAGAUGAACCGCUUCUAAUAGUCCAUUGACUUGGACAAUACUUUUAUGAUCUGAUCUCAAAUCAGGUAGGACUACCCGCUGAACUUAAGC